UAGGGAAUCUUCGGCAAUGGGGGGAACCCUGACCGAGCAACGCCGCGUGAGUGAAGAAGGUUUUCGGAUCGUAAAGCUCUGUUGUUAAGGAAGAACGAGUGUGAGAAUGGAAAGUUCAUGCUGUGACGGUACUUAACCAGAAAGCCACGGCUAACUACGUGCCAGCAGCCGCGGUAAUACGUAGGUGGCAAGCGUUGUCCGGAUUUAUUGGGCGUAAAGCGAGCGCAGGCGGUCAAUUAAGUCUGAUGUGAAAGCCCCCGGCUCAACCGGGGAGGGUCAUUGGAAACUGGUUGACUUGAGUGCAGAAGAGGAGAGUGGAAUUCCAUGUGUAGCGGUGAAAUGCGUAGAUAUAUGGAGGAACACCAGUGGCGAAGGCGACUCUCUGGUCUGUAACUGACGCUGAGGCUCGAAAGCGUGGGUAGCAAACAGG
Molecule: ribosomal RNA, 430 nt
Filed under: Bacteroidota bacterium
Lineage: Bacteria; Pseudomonadati; Bacteroidota
Description: Bacteroidetes bacterium partial 16S ribosomal RNA
Rfam family: Bacterial small subunit ribosomal RNA
Source: RNAcentral